RNAcentral lists this transfer RNA (63 nucleotides) under Heterocephalus glaber (naked mole-rat). It matches the Rfam family "tRNA". From Rfam's summary of the family: Transfer RNA (tRNA) molecules are approximately 80 nucleotides in length. Their secondary structure includes four short double-helical elements and three loops (D, anti-codon, and T loops). The record is from Rfam by way of RNAcentral. Lineage: Eukaryota; Metazoa; Chordata; Mammalia; Rodentia; Bathyergidae.
GGGGAUUUAGCUCAGCAGCACAGCGCCUGCCUGGCAAGCAUGAGGUCCUGAGUAAAAUCCCCA